GCUGGUGUACAUUUCCCAGCCUCUUCUGUUUCCAGGUGCCUGAGGACACUACCCUGGGCCUGUAACGGUCACUACUAACUUUGUAUCCCCAGGGACAGGGCAGAGGAGCCACCAAUGGUGGUGCCUUGGGCUCCAAAGUCUAGAAGAGCCACAGAAACUAAGAGAUGGACAGAAAGAGGUGAGGAGAGAGACCCAAGGAGGCUUCUGGGGAGGAGAGGGAAGGUUACCGCGGGGGAAGUCUGCACUCCCAGCAAGCCAUGCCUCUGGCAGCAACCCCACUGGGCUGGGGUCCCAGGGAUUUAUUGACUAAUCCUCAAUGAUACACUCUCCCUGAUUUAUUCUCUCUCUGGCUAGCACCCUCACAAGAUCCCAUUGUCUCCAGACACCGCUGGCCCAGGGCCUCCACCGCAGGGCCUCCUGCCUCCCAUGCAUUUCCGGGGGGGGGGGGGGGGAGAAUGGAGGCGCGCCACCACCAGGCACCGAACCUUCGCUUUUCUCUCCCCGCCCGAGGGUCAGGCUGCCAGGCCACGGGGCAGUGCCAGGCACAAGGCUGACGGCACCUAGUCAACUCGAGGAGCUGCCGGUGAGCAGGGUGACUGCCUGGGGCUGCUGGCAUUUGUGCCUGGCUGAUGCAGUCGCUCCGCGAGUCUGAGGGGGGAGGCAGGGGCGGGUGGGGGCGUGUCACCAAGGAAGUGGGUGUCAGGGGUGCUGAGCGAGGGGGCAGAGGAAGGUCAGAGUGGAGGUUUUCACUGAUCCGAGUGGGCGGGAGUAAAGAGAAUUCAUAAAAAGUUUCUUUCUUCUUUAAUGGUCUUUUUUCCCUAUCCGAGGGCCCGGGCGCGGGAGGUGAGGGAAGACGGGCGGGGGCAGGGCAGGCCCUCCACAAGUGACACUUAAUUCCCGGUCUGGACUGGGCCGGCAUUUGAAAGCAGCUAAAUUAGCAAAACAGAAGUCAACUGUCGAUUGCUUCAUUGGAGGAUUAAGUGUGAUAAAUGGGGGGUUUGUUCGCUCCCAGGUCCAGAUGUUGUGUCUAAGUGAGGGGUUUUUUUUUUCUUUUCUUUUUUCUUUCUUUCUUUUUUUUUUUACAUUCUUGGCCCAGGGCCCAUAUAUAUUUUGGAUACUGCUGGGAGUAUAUAAUAUCAUUGGAAAAUGAUGCGGUCUGCUAACCUUUUAAAUAACAUUUCCUCCCUCCUCUAUUUUCUAAUAGUUUGUUUUUCUUUCCAUGUUUGCCUUUUAUUGGGGGAAAUUUUUUUUGGAAAUUAAUGAGGCUCAAGUUUGGAGAGCAAAAUAAAAAAAAAAAACUUUUUUUUUUUUUUUUUUUUUUUAAUCUUCCUGCGGAGGCUGCCCGCGGUCCUCCGGCUGGGCUGCGCGGUGGCGCGCGCGGGCAGGGAGCCCGGGACUCUCCGCGGCGCCCGGCGCCCGCUCGCCCAGCCCGGGGCCUCGGUGCUGCGCGCCGCGGGCCUCCGGGAAGAACCUGCCCGGCCCGACGUGAGACCGGGUGGGGGUGGGGGCGCCUCCUUCCUGAGUGAAACCUACGGAAUCCGGCAGGAAUUCGGGCCUCCCAGAUUUAAGAAAACAAACAAAGGAAAGAUUGUCAGAGAGGGGCCGCCAAGAGCCGCCGGGCCGCCGCGCUGCCCUCCGCGCUCACCCCGGGGGCGCCCGGGCCUCCCGGCGGGGGCGGAACACGAAGCUGGAGUGGGGGGGGGAGGGCUCCCCCGGGUGGUCCCCGGUGGGCUUCCCUGAGCUGGGCCUCGGCUAACCUGCCGUCCCCCCCGGUCUCAGGGCGCCAGGGAAAGGAGAGUGUCGCCGGAGUGGCUGCCUGGUGGAGGAGGGGUCCUGCGGGAGUCAUUUGGGGGCAAUACCUAGCUUCGAGGCAAGCCCCCCGCAGAGCCCCAUCCCGCUCCCGCCCGCAGUGUCCAAGCCCCUAAACCACGUUUGGGGCUGAACUCCACGGCUCAAGUUCCUUUGUGGGCGAGGGCUCUUCCUCCGCGCAGCCACCUAGGUUCCUCGAGGCCAGGACUAGGUCCCCGUGCGGGCCCAGUGUAGGAAGCAUCUAGGAAGAAUUAUAAAAAGUGAGAAUGUGAGAAGGAGGCUCUGUAAAACAAGAAGGGUGGACACCUGUAACGCAACAGGACCCGGCGGUACACAUAUGGGUCUCCAGGGCCCGGUGCUCUCCGGCCCGUCUCUACGCGUUUACCUCUCCCUCACGACUCUACUCUCCGGUCAACGCCCCCUGCCUCUGUUUCCCUGUCUUUCCUUCUCUCUGUGUCUGUGUCUUGCGCCCUCUCUUCUUUCUCUGCUCCUAAAUCCGAAUGCGGCUCAACAUUUCUGGUUUCCCCUUUGUCUCUGUAGCUCUGUCUCCUUUUGAGAUUGUCUCUGUUCCUUUCUGUCUGCCCUCUCUUCGUGUGCCUCGGUCUCUGAGUCUCCCUCGCGCUUUCGCUCUUGCUCUCUCGCCCUCUCUCCUCCUCCUCAUUCCCCUCCGUCUCUCCACCCCGCCCCCGCCCUAGGUAGUUCUGCGGACGGGCCCCGGGCCAAGGCCGCCCCCGGCAGGGCCUUGCCCGCGCUGACAGAGCCUCGCGCCCGCGGCCCAAUUAGCGCGCCGCGCGAGGGACGCGGCAUCUGGAAUUGCGCUGCGCUCACGGCCAAGGCCGAUUGUUUAGUCUGCGCGGCGGGGCGGGCGGCCUGCGCGGUGGCCCCACAUCUGGAGCCGUGGCCAGACGGCCCUGCUGGCGGCUGGCCGGGGUGCGUGUGCAUUUUUAACUCUGGGAUUUGCUGACAAGUUAAGAAGUCAGAAAGUCAGUGGCGGCGGGAACUGGCGAGGCGCGCAAGGAAGGGAGGGGCAGGCCGAGGCUCGGGCGCACACGCCGCCAAGGAGACACGCUCCCGGGGCGCGCACAGCCGCUUGGCGCUUUGGCCCAGCGUGGCUUUCCCCAAAACUGCCCCCACCCGCUGCUGCCCAGCGCCACAGCCGCGUGUUGACUUUUCUUCCGGAUUGCUUCCCUCCCCCGCCUUUAUCCACUCCCAUUUCUCCUUCCUCUUCGUUAAUUAAGUGGCUGAGUUAUCCCAAAAUCCCACACUCCCCAGCGGGUUGGAGCUCCUUGGAGGCCAGCCUCUAAGGAGGAAGCCUGGGAAUCUCAGGGCUCCCACGCUUUGGUGGGAGGACACAGAGGCCCAGAGAGGGCCAGCGACUUGGCCGAGGUGGCUCAGCAGUCAAGUGGCAGGCUAGGACCGGAGGCCAACUCUCUUGACCCCUAAUAUGGUUCUUGGCCCAGCUCUGGGUCCCUCUUGGGGCUGGUCCUGACUAAUGAGUAUUCUUACAUCGUCAUAGUUCCUUCCCAUUCUUAGAAAUGUGCUUUUGCACUUCUACUCAUUCAUUUAACAAAUACCUGCGGCUCACUGCUGGCAAGACUUGGGGACUAUCCCUGUGGAUAAGACUAGCACGUUCUUAUGCUACAGAACUUACACUGGAAUGGAGAAGACAGAGAUGUGGGGGAGACAGACUUCACAGUGGAUCAAAUAAACUACUCAAAGUUACUGUCAAGGAGCAGGAACAAAAUAAGUAAUGUUUAUUGAGCAUUUAUUAUGUCCCAGGCACUAGUAAAGGUAUUCGCAUUAGGGGCACCUGAACAGCUUCGUUUCUUAAACAUCUGACUCGUGGUUUCGGCUCAGGUCAUGAUCUCAUGGUUUGCGGGUAAGUUCGAGCCUUCGAUGUCCAGGAUCCAUCAUCCAGGCUCUGUGCUGACAGCACAGCACAGAGGCCCCUUGGGAUUCUCUCUCUCCCUCACUCUCUGCCCCUCCCCCCCUCAAAAUCAACAAACUUUAAAUCUGCUAACACAACAUUCUAAAAAACAAAACAAAACAAAACAAAAACAAAGGUAUUUGCAUUUGCACUAACUCGUCCAUUCCUCGUAAUGUUCCGAGGAGGUACCUAUGGGUCCCCACUUUGCAGAUGGACAAUCAGAGGCCCAGAAAGGUUAAGUGAUUUUUCCAAGGUCACACACAUUCACACGUGGUGGAACUGAGGUUCAGGUUCAGGCUUGACUCCGGAGUCAGGCGUCUUAGCUUGCAAGAGACUGCAGGAGAACUUCCUGGUUGUCCACAACUGGAUAACUGGCAUCCAGGUAGUAUACCAUUUCCUCCCGCCGCAGAACAAGAGUUCACCAGGCCUCUGCCGUAAUGACCAUCACUAACAUUCGCGUAUACCUCCCAUUUUCAUCAGCCAUUUUCCACUCGGUCACCGCGACUUAGAUGUAAGCAUUAUUAUCAUUUCCAUUUCCACAUCUGCAAACUGAGGCCGGCGACUGUCCCCAAGCUUCCUGGGAAUGAGGACUUCCUUUUCUUUCCAGUUCUGGUCUGUUUUUCUCUUGUUCUGUUUUCCGUGGAAACAGGCCUCAACAGCCACCCUCAUCCCCGGGGAAUAGUGAAUCCAUCAUGCCUUCGAGAUGUCUCCCCAGGAGCGUCCUGGGAAGACAGCCCUGCUUUUCUGGUUGAACAGACCUACUUGAGCUACAUAGCCACACAGGGUUAGGGGCUUUGGGGUCCAUCCGGUUCCUAAGGUGUCCCCCAACACGGUCACAUUCCCUCUCUUGAGAUGGGAGAUGUGGGGUAGAGCACGUCUGCUUUCCUUGAGUCACAUACUCAUUUGAAAAUUUGCUGGAGGCUCCAGAUCAUCAACUUUGAGUGGUUCACGUGCCCGCAUAUCCUCACACACUCGAUUCCCACGUGUUUUCAGGAGAUUUAGGGGCUCCUCAAACGUAUCCAUGGGCAUCCUAGGGAUUCCAACACCCCGCCCCCCUCAUAUGGAGCAUCUCUGUACUAACGGUUUCUACAUUCCCCAGCCAUUGGCAACCUCCAGUGCACACCUAGAAAUAAGCCACACAGCAUCCCUGUGGAUGCCUUUGGAUCCUUUUGGGAUUCUUUCCACUGAAGAGUCAGCAGUUUGAAGCCCUUUGGCCUUUUCUUUCCCGAUCCUUUACCUUGGAAGUUGUCACGUGAUGGAAAGAGGCGGGAGGCAUCCCUCUAGGGCCAGGGAGCACACCUGUGUGUUUUGACCACAGAGGUGUGUGAAUAGUGUGGCUCUUGGAUAAAGCCUGGAUGGAGGAACUGCUCCCCUGCCCAGCAUCGUCACAAGCCACACCUUACCACUUCUCAGCAGGCACUCCCCACCCCCCUAAAGAUCAUUCCAACUUGUCACAACAGGGCUCCGGGCUAAACAGACAAGGUGGCGAUGGCCUGAUUUUACAGAAGGAGCAGGUGGGGCCCGGAGUGGCUGUAUCUCUCUCUCUCUGCGUCACACGAUGAGUUCAACCCUGAGCAGCAGGGAAAGUCUAGGUUUUCCCAGUUCUUAACCCAGCCUCCUUGUAGGCACCAGUGAUUAUGGUGAGCCUACGGUGUGCAAAACCCUGUGCCGGAGGCUGUAGGGACAGAAAAGUGAAGAACUCAGCCGAAGGGCACUAUUGAGGCCCCACCCAUGUCCCCGGGGCCACCUCCUAGUUCAUCUGCAGGCUGUCAAGGCCAGGAGGCAGGGGGCCUGGAGUUGCCUGCCCCAGCUAGCUUCUCUGCUUCCUACCUGCACCGUGUUUCCAGUGCUGGGACCCCGGGGUAGCUUUACUCAGCCUAUAGGGUAGCUGGGACGGGCCAGGGACUUAUGGCCCCAGGGACAACUCUAACUGAGGAGGGCAGGAGCAGAUGGAGGAAAAGGCUGGCUGCCUCAGCACUCUUUGGGAUGAUUCUAUAACGUGUUCUCAGGGUCCUUCAGCGAGCCCGCGUUGCCACAGUGUGAGUGGUUCAUGGACCAUCCUUCAUUGGCUUAUCUCCCUUCCCUUCCCGUCCUGUCUCCCUUCCCCAUCCACCCCCUCCCCCCGCCUCCAGCUCCCAAGGCCUACCUUCCAAAUAAGCUACCUGCACUGGAGUUCUGGCUUCAGAGACUCUUUUCAGGGGACCCAAACUAGGACACACAUACACACGCAGCCGUGUCUCUGAAAACGCGGGGCACAGAGAAGCGUGUUGGCCACUCACGACUGGGAGGCACCGAUAAUAAAUACUGAUGUGCACACGUUCUUAGACUGGGCCCCUCACUUUGCCAAACACAUUCAUUUCACACUCGCUUCAUUUAAUCCCUGCGACCAUCCCGUGAUUAUACCUGUUUUACAGAGUAAGAAACUGAGGCUAACAGUAACCUUCCCCAGAUCCCUCUGCUUAGUGGUGAAGCCUGGCUGUAUGCUCAGACCUUUCUGUCUCCAAAGCAGCCCCAUAAUGACCACACUGGGCUCUCAGGGGCCAGUGUUGGAGGAGCCCAGCAAGGUCCAGAAGGACUAGGGGUGGGGGACUUCCUGGAGGAGGUGGGGCUUGGCUUGGGCUUGCAGGACGGGGUAGGCUUUAACUGCUCUGACGGGAAGGAGGAGGAAAGUUCUGAACAGGGUUUGAAAGUGUGAAGAACUUUGAAAAGAACGGUGAGGAGCUGGGUCUGGCUGCCCAGGGAUCUGGGUCUAGGAAUUGGAGCAGGUCAAAGCCUGGCUGUGGCCGCCUGAAUAUCAGCUCAGAUGGAUGGCUCUUCCUUUCCCCUCCUGCCGGUUGGCCUGUGUCCGAGAGGGCUCAGGAGCAGGGACGGAGGCGGUUGGGGAGUAGCCACAGGAGUCCCGCUGUCCACCUGGCCUCUCCCCUGUUUCCCGGCCAAGCACCCCGCGGGACUCGAUGAUCCCCCCGUUUCCAAGUAGUAAAUAGAUGUAUAAAGCAACCAUUUCCAUUUAAAGCUCUGCAGACCGUAGGGAGGAAGGCCUGCAGGCCAUCUGGGCCCUUGUUUGGCAAUGUUUGUGCUCACAACAAACCUGAUAGACAGAGAUUUAUCACCGUUUUCAUUAGCUGAGGUUCGUUUGGUUUGCUGCUUUUCUACCACAGCACCCCCUCACCCCCCCCACAACACUCCAGAGUUACAGAUUUAUGGUGAGUGGGAGGGCCAGGGACUGGGGGAAAAGGGAGGAGGGGGCUGAGAGCAAGGUGUGGGCUUGGAGCAGGGGGCAGGGGGAAAUUAGGGGCUCUGGAAGGAGGGUUGGCCAGAAGCACACCGGUUCCAGAGAAAGGACCGAGGGAAAGAAAUGUGUGUGUGUGUGUGUGUGUAUUAGGGAGUAAGGAAAGACAUCUGCAGCAACACCCCCCCUCCCACAGGCACACACACAUCUCAUAAUCACCAUAAUUGUUAAGCAUGGAGGCUAUUGACAUUCUAAGCCAUCACUACCAAUGCUAGGCCAGAGGGUCCGGAAGGACACACGACUAGGGCAACCUCAGGGUCCGCUCGGGUCUGAACGUAAUUCGCAAAGGUCUGUACACCGUUCCUCCUGUGCUAGACACUGUCCUGGGGCUUUAGAUACAUUAACUCAUUUCGCUCUCAAACCAACGCUCUGGAGCAGACACCGGGGUUUUUGCUGUUCUGCCCCCCCCACCCCACCCCCACCCCCGCAGGCCGUGCCUCGCUCUUCUGGAGGAAGGAGCCUGGACGUGUGUGUUCCCGGAUGUUGCAGAAAUCAUCUUUACCCCUGGAUGUGCCUGUGGCACUCCCACAAGCACCGACUGGGAACCCCUUCCUCGGUUUCUUUGCAGCUCCUUUGCUGCACAACCGCUGCCACCAGGCAGGCUCUGUGCCCGCGUGGACCUUGCGGGACCCUGGCUCGGCAUCCUUCCCCACCUCCCGCCUCCUCCCUGCUCUGCCCUCCCCACACCUCCACGCCUCAAAAUUCCUCCAGCCUUCAAGUCCAUCCUGGCGUCCCCCUGGUGAGGCCAUUCCUGAGGUUUCUCAAUGUGGUCAGGCCUUCCAAUCAGAGACACUCAGAGCUGCCCUUUGAAAUUAUCUGAAAAAGAGGAAGAAGCCAGAGAACAAGGGCUCCCCGCCCUCGGAACGGAGCUCCUCUACCUUUUACGGCAGAGUCCUGUGUUGUAUUUCAUUAGAGCCCAGGUCCCAUAUUGAGAGAGGAAGAAAAGGUUUAACCCAGUGAUCAAUCCGAACGUUCUCAUCUUAUGGAUGAGAAACCAAGAUCGGAGAGGGUAAGUGACUUGUCCAAGCCCACACAGUGAGUUCACAGGGCCAGAAGGCUGAGGCUCCCUUUAUGUGAUGUUCCCCCCAGUGUGAGCGUCCGUCUUCCUAGGAGACUGUGAGCCCUAGAGGGAAGAAGCCAGAAUCAAACACCUCUGUCUCCAGCCACAGCUGAGUGUCAUUUCAUGGGUUUUUGCUCCCCAAAUCAGGCAUCUUUCCAAGAAGCACAUGUCACCAAUUUGCGUCCGUGGUGCCCAGUAGAGACAGGUUAUGGGGCUGCGACGGGGUGGGGGGAGGACAGCUCCUUGUCCCUGGAGAAUCCCCUCUGACUGGAACCCACACCACCGAGAAGCUUUGCCUCAGAAUUUCCAACAUACAAAGGACCUUCCUUUCCUUCCAGAUCCACCCAGCCUGCGUCUCUAGAAAACAGAGGGUUGUUUUGUUUGUUUGUUUUUGCCUGGACAGCUCUCAGCUAUAAUCUGAAGGAAACCAAAGGAACUUCCUUUCCCCCAACACACCAGGACGUCAACCUACCAUCUUCCUGCUAAGUGGCUGCAGCUCCCCCAUCAAAGUGCCUCCUUUGAGAUAGGGCCUUGUCCCCAGCAAAUCUAAACCCCAAGCAGGAAUGCCACCGUGGGCACUGAAUGAGGCCAGAUCCCUCAUAGGGGAAAGAGAGUGCCCCCCUAGCCACACAUUCCUGGGUUCUAGUUCUGGCUCUGCCCUGGGAGAUCCGGGGCAGGUUACUUAACCUCUCUGCUCUGGUCUCCCCGUAUGUGACAUAGGGACAAUAGCAUUGGGAACAGUGCCCAUAGGAUGGUUACAGAGACUGAAUGAAAUCACGAGUUGAGGGCACUCAGCACAGUGCUGGGUGCAGUCUCGCCCGUUGAUACGUUCCUGCGAACAGCGGCCUCGAGAACUAGCGAAGCUUCCAGGGAAAAAGAGCCUAGGGACAGUGGAGCUUGAAGAGACAGAAGACAGGGGGGAUCACCCAAAACAUCAGACAGCCCUGGGGGCGAGGCGGUCCCUGGAGGGGGCUUAGGGGGAGGGGCCGCCCGAUCACUGAGUGCCCUCCCCCCCCCCCCAUGGGAGUCCCGAAAGUGGGAAAAGAAAGAUCUGGCACCAAAACAGACUUUGAUUCCUUCCUUGGUUUGGCAGGAACGCUUAGCUUGGCUUCAUGUUCCCUCAAAGGGGCCAUUUUAUGUGAUAGUAAUAACAAAUGUUUUAUAGCACUUACUGUGUGCCAAACAGUCACUGCAUCUUUCCCCUCCCCAUACCCUGUGAGGUGGGGUAAUUAGGGAUUAUUAUCACCCGCCAGUCCUACAAGUACUGAGGGGGGCUAUGCAACUGGCCAGGGACCGCUCAGUCCUCAAGAGCAGAGCCCGGCUUUGCACGGGGCAGUCUGUGACUGGAGUCCCUUCUUCAAACCCCUGGGCCCCGGUCUGCUUUCUCCCCAGCCCCCUGUCCAGGCCACACCAUCCAAAGGCCUCCCUAGAUUCCUUUCCCCCUGGGGCCACAUCAAGUCCUCAUUUCUCGCUAUCAGGCUGGGAUCUGAUUCUCUUUCCAGUUCGAUGGAAAUUACCAAGCCUAGGGGCCCCUGGUGCGGGGUGUGGAGGGAGGGAGAGUGCACAAGGCAAAUAAGACAUAAUCCUGGCCCUGGGAAGUUUUCCACUCACCCCUUCUGGACCGGGCAAAAGUACAAAUGGAGGCCCACAUUCCAUAUGUCUAAAUAUUUAAAAGUUAUAAAUCAAGUUAACAAACUGUUAAAUAAAAUAUGUUCUAUUCUCCUAUGCUGACACAUAUACCUUCUAAAGAUCUGGAAAGCCAGGUUCAAAUUUAGAGUUCUCAGGCUCCUUGGAGCUCUGCACAGGGCAAGGCGGGGAGAAACUGCCUCUGUGCUCCCCCAGCUCCUGCCUCCCCCCUUCCCUUCUCUUCCCAUCCCCCACUGCACCUGAAACUUUGAAGCGCUUCCGGGUGUGGACACCCUGGGCCGCCAGCCGCUGGGAGGGCAAACCCGGGGAGGCAGACUGCCCAGGCCCCUCACGCAGACUCCUGUCCCUCUCCCGGAAUUCGGGGCUCUGGGAAUCUGGAGAGUGAUCUGGAAGGAGGGUGGCUCCCUGGGUAGACUCCUUGCCUUGUGAGAAGGGGCAGAGGAGGACCUAAGUGGGAUACCCUCAUACCCAGUCUAGAGGCCCUGGAGCUGAAUGAGGGUCUCCCUUCAUUCCUCUGUUUCCAGCUCCCUUUUAUCCAGUCAGCCAAUGUCUGAACCUCCUGAUGACUCUCAUUGCCAGACAGUUCUCUGAGCCCCAUCGCAACCCCUGUGGUCCAGGCCACUCUCAUCUGUAACCGGGUCACCAUGACAGCCCCCUACUGGCCUCCCAGUCCCCAGUCCUGUCCUUCCCUCUCUCCACAGCCAGACUGAUCUUUCUCCAGCACAACCUGGAUCGUGACGAGGUCAGGCUUGACACGCUUUUGGCUCCCCGCUGCCCACUGGAGAAAGCCCACACUCUUCAAGCUCCAGCCCUUGGCUCCUGGCCCCCCAAGCUCCCCUGCCCCAGCCCACACCACUCGCUGCCUCUAAAUGCUGCUCCGGCCCCUCGAGGCUGAUCCCAGCUCCCAGGGACACGCGUAGACCUCACUCAGCCUUGCUGCCCUUCUGGCCCAUUUCCCAUCCCCCACCUGGACCAGUUCCUUCUCUUGCAAUUUCAGCUCUGAUCCAACCUCCAGCAAUCCUUUCUUGUCAACAGCCCCGUCCUGCCUCCAGGCCCAUCAGGAGUCCCUGACUUGUGCGCUCAUGAUGGACCAUCUCCACUGUACUGUAAUUAUGUCUAAUCUGACCACUUCCCCAUACCCCAGCCACCUCACCCAAACCAUCACCGUCUCUUGCCUGGACUUUGCAGUAACCUCCUUACUAGCCUCCCUGCUUCUACUCUUGCCCCCCGCCCCAGGCAGUCCACUCCCCGGAGCCAAAGUGAGCCUUUUAAAACAGAGGUUUGCUCAUUUCACUCCCUCCUAGAUAUCCCCAAAGGCUCCCAUCUGACUCUAGGAUCCACAGACCUUGCCAGGGUUCCCGCACCAGUCACGAUCUGGCCUCUGUCGCUGCUGACUCCUCUUUUCCCCUCACCUAUCCUUCUCCAGUCACACUGGCCUCCGUGUUCCUUUUGGCUCACACAGGCAUCCCUGCCUCGGGACCUUUGCACGCACUAUUUCAUCCCUACACUCAGGUCUCUGCUGAAGUGUCCCCCUCCAAGACCCUUCUCUUCCCCACUGCUUUGUUUCCCUCGCCUUGCUUAUCUCCACCUUGCAGGUCAUAUAUCUCUUGGUUUCUGUGUGGCUGCCUCAAGCAUGUAAAAACUCCAUGAGAGCAGGGACUCUGAUUUUUUCACCUCAGUGUCCCGAGGGCCUAGACCAGCAUCAGGCACACAGUAGGUGCUCAACAAAUAUUUGGCAAAGGAAUGAAUCUGUUUAUGCUUCUAUGUUUUAACUAGAAUGUGUCCGUCUAAAAGCAGAACCCAUGGCUUAUUCAUCCCAGUGUCCCCACUGCUUAGCCUGGUGCUGGGCACAUAAAUGGAGGUCCUCAUUUGGAUGGUGAAGGGGAGAGGGCAGGACCAUAGCGUGCACCUAGGCACAGAGGUAGACAGAGCUAAGGUGGAGUGGAGCCCAAGUUAUGGAGGGGCCUGAAGGUUGCUGAGAAGACUUGCCCCUAUCUGAUACAGAGCAUUGCAAGGUCUGGGGCCAGAGCGAAGAAUUUUAUACAGAAACUAGAAUUUGGGAGAAGAGGAAUUCAGAAGGCAUGGAAUUGACCGAGAGAUUGCAAGAGCCCCUCACGCCCCAGUCUCAGAUCCCGGAGGAAAAGCAUCAUCUCUGAUGUGCUCACCUUUGGACACUUGUGGACCUGCUCACCUUGGGUUUGUCACCUUCUAACUCUGAACAUGGGUGGUGGACACGCCUGCCCCACCACCCCUGAGGCUGCCUGGAUUUGCGUGAGCAGGUGUAUGAGAGAAAGAUUUGGACGGGGAGGUUACAGAGACCCUGCGGACAGCGGAAGAUCGAAGGCCCCUUUUGGCAACCCCUCUGGCCCAGGGCUUGGUCACCAAGAAAGGCCUGGGAAACAGGACGACAGAGUGUCUAGGGUCUCCCCUCCCCCCUGCCCACCCCCAAGCCUUUACUCUGGGUCAGUUGGAGCCUGAAGUGGCUUUUAAGCAAUUAGACUGAGCACUGGGCCCUUGCAAAUCUAAUUGUUUCAAAAGCCCUUGAAGGGUUUGAGUCUGAGCUCUUAAAAUGCCAGAGAAGAGGGAAAUCAGUGAUGGUGGGAGGUGUGGAGGCCCUGGCUUCUCUUCCCCUACCCCACUUUCUGCUCUCCAUCUUCUCUGGGGAUGAGGAGGGGCCGGUUCGGGGCAAAGGAGCCCCUCCCUCCUGUCUCUUAAACGCCCCCCUCACCCUAUGUCAGGUAGCCAAGCAGCUGUCUGACCCGUCCCCGUGGGCAAAGCACUUCGCCUUCACCCCCAGAAAACAUGUCAACCGCUUCCCCGCGAUUGCACACUUAUUCAUGGGCUGGAUGCUUGAGAUUAAAAAGACACCCCAUGGGGCGCCUGGGUGGCGCAGUCGGUUAAGCGUCCGACUUCAGCCAGGUCACGAUCUCGCGGUCCGGGAGUUCGAGCCCCGCGUCAGGCUCUGGGCUGAUGGCUCAGAGCCUGGAGCCUGUUUCCGAUUCUGUGUCUCCCUCUCUCUCUGCCCCUCCCCCGUUCAUGCUCUGUCUCUCUCUGUCCCAAAAAUAAAUAAACGUUGAAAAAAAAAAAAAAAAAAAGACACCCCUGACCUCAGCGAGCCCAACAGUCCAGGAAGGGAGAAAAGAUCUGCUCCGAGGGAGUAGACAUAUAGGGGAAACUGAUCUUUGGAGAGGCGCAAAGACAGGGAGCUCUGGGAACACCAAAGAGGGUGGGCGUGGGGCCAGAACUGGAUGAGAGAAGGGGACAAUGCUCCACAAGGAGGUGGCAUUUCAACUGAGCCUGAAGGGUGGGAAGGAUUUUGCAGGUCACAUUGGAAAGGAGGAUAUAUCGUGAGCCCAGGAAAUGAACGUGAACCAAAAGCAGACCAUGGGCGGACAGAGAACCCUAAGGACCAGCAUCCUCCCCACCAUGUUCUGACUCGGUUUCCAACCAGCUCGGUGGAUUCUGUCUGUGUUCUCUAAGCUUUGGUAGUCCACAGGGGAGCUUGGGACCACUUCCGGGGUGGGGUGGGGGGGGGAGGUAAGUAUACAGCGUCCACCCCCGACCCCUGCCCCACUUCAACUAGAGCUACAACUCUUGGCCGGUUUACCUUUUGGGUUUCAAUGUAAAUUACGUUUAUUAAAAGGCAGUACUACUUUUAAACCACUCUACCUACUGGAAACUACUGGACCAGAUGGUUCCUUGGGUCCUUUCAAAGCUCUGAGCUCAGAGUUUUCUCAUAGCUCCCAGGCAGCCCUUCGUCUACUGAGGACAGAGCGAGAAACACACCCAGAACCCUGAUUGCCGGUUGGCCCCCUUUGGAAAUUGCCCGCAGGAUCUGAUUUCCUAGAUGGGCUCCUUCCCACCCGCCCGGAGGAGCUCAGCCCCACGACCAAACUGGAAUAAACCGGGUGAUACCUGAAGAGGCACCCUCAGAGUACCACCUUUGUCAUUUAAGGCAAACCCCCCUGAGCUUCUUUGUGGGGAUGAGUUACCUUUCCUUUCACCCAGCUGUGAAAAAGCGAGCCUGGGUUGCUGCCAAUAUACCUAUGCCUUGUGUGAGAAGUUGGGGGUGUCAGAGCUUGGACGGUAGCCCAGCAACCCGCGUAGAGAGGUCGCAGCUCGGGUUUUCAGAUGGGGUGGAGGCUCUUCAAGAAGGCCAAAGGAAAUGAUUGAGUAAAUCAAAGAGUGAACGGACAAAGAGGCUGUUGCCAAAAUGCACUUCUGUCACGAAAGGGUCACUUUAGAAGCUGUUAUCAGUCCUGUUGACUUUGGUGUGAGUGAAGUAUUUUAGAGCAAGAGUUGAUAGGGGUAGGGACGGUUUGGGAACCCAGGUAUCACUAUAUAAAAGAAUAAUACCAAAAGGAAUGUGACCAAGUGUAAGACAGUCCCAUAACUUUGUCUUCCCCUGGACUACCCCCACCGACCCGCCUCACCUCACCCCAGCCCUCCGCUCCUCACACCCCCUUUCUUCCCUGGGAGCCCAGCCAGGUGCUGAAAGGUGCCUUCAGGGGAGGGGAAAUGUAUUUGGCCUGGAGCAGGCGGGUGAGGGACAAAGUGUCAGUCUGUGCCAUUGUGAGGGGUGUGGCUGGCUGAGUGUAAACACGGGGGAGAGGCAGUGGCUUCCGGCCUGAGCUCUGGGCAGGAAGGAGUGAAAAUUCCUACCUGCGCUCCUCUCCCUUCCCCACCUGCCACCGCAGCCCCUUCCCUUCACAGACAAAGCACAGACUGGAAGUCAGUGGAAUCUUUGCUAUGACAUCCACCCUAGCCCAGGGCCUGGGCCCUUACAGACGUCCUUGGAUCCAGCCUCCGGCACCUGGGACCCCACUCUCAGAGGCCUCUGCCCUGGCCCACUUCCCUGGCUCCGUUCUCCCUUCACGUGCAAAAGCCCGAGUAGGUUUAAGAAAACAAAAACAAUAAAAUCUCCCACGGGGCUCCCAAGUUCAUAGGUGGAGAAGUCAGGCGUGUGUAACUUAGAACAGGUCCUUUAAUUUUUCUGGACUUCAGUGUCUUCCCAAACAGACAAAAUAAGCAUAAAGACAGCUCGAAAGCGCCUUUCCAGCGUUAGGAAAAAAAUAUAAGGCCACUCAACUGUAGGUCCAAAUCCUGCCUCUACCUCCUACCCUAUAGGUGGGGGGUCUUGAGCAAGUUACUAAGUGCUUGGUAACUCAGUUAGGGUGUGCUCAUGUGACUUAUCUCAAAGCUCCCAGAGGUAAAUUGCAUGACAGAAUGCAUGCGAGCCACCCAGCCCAGGCCCCAUAGGUGGGAGAUAUUCCUACCUUGCUAUAUGUCCUUGAACUAAGAUUGUAAGAUGCACCAUUAUUUCACGUUCCACUAAGAAAGAAAUAGUGCCGGGGCACCUGGGUGGCUCAGCCUUGCUUUUGGCUCAGGUCAUGGUCUCACAGUUUUGGGGGUUCAAGCCCCACGUUGGGCUCCGCAGCUGGCAGUGAGGAGCCUGCUUGGGAUUCCCUCUCUGUCUCCCUCUCUCUCUGUCCCUCCCGGGCUUGUGCUGUCUCUGUCUCUCUCAAAAUAAAUAAACUUAAAAAAAAAGAAGAAGAAGAAGAAGAAAGAAAGAAAUAGCGCCAUCAAUGGAUUGGGAGACACAUCUCAGAUAUCAGAGAUGAGUGCACCUUAGAGAAAUUUUUUUUUAAUGUUUAUUUAUUUUUUAAGAGAGAGAGAGAGCACAAGCAGGGAAGGGGCAGAGAUAGAGAGAAAGGGAGACACAGAAUCCGAAGGGGGCUCCAGGCUCCCAGCUGUCAGCACAGAGCCUGGUGUGGGGCUGAAACUCACGAACCGUGAGAUCGUGACCUGAGCUGAAGACAGACGCCUAACCGACUGAGCCAUCCAGGCGCCCCAAGAUGGGUGCACCUUAGAAUUGAAAUACUGCAUUAAUCCGGAGGACAGACAGGGAAAGGGCAACAAAAGAGUCAAUCUCUAACAGCAAUAGCUCUCCACUCGGGAUGCAACUUAGAAUCGGGCAGAGUAUAUCUGUUUAACCAAAACCUCCGGGGUGCGACCCAGUAAUCUUUCGGUGCCUUGUUUUCCCCAUCUGCAAAACUGGGAUAAUUAUAGAAUCUACUUCUGAUGUUGUACUGAGUUAAUUCACACAAGUGAUUUAGAGCAGCGCCAGGCCCCCCAGAAAUGCUAACCUAAGUAGUGUAAGUAAAUGUUAACGAUUUCUCAACUCUGCGCCCCAGGUCCUGGCACCCACGAGGUACCUCCUAAGUGUUGGUAGAAUGCAGUAGAUAUUGCCGCGUGACUGCUGCCCUGCCCCCCCCCCCCCCCCCGCCACCCCUUAGCUGGGAGAGGCCCUCUCUGGCCUCUGUCGGGGGUGGGGGCCCAAGAAGAGGCUCACCUGCCCAAAGGCCUUCCGUCCAAAGUUCAAGAGAGCCACACCCUUUCCAGGCACAGCGCCGCCCCAGCCCCCGGAGGCUGCUUUGCGGUGGGCGCCAAGAAACUGGACCUGCCACGGCCCUGCAGAGUCAAUGACAAGAACCAAACUUCUCCCCUAGCCUCCACCCCUCCCCUUUCCUGCUUUUCUUAUUUUCUUUUCCAUAAAGAUUAGUCUGUUGCUCCUCUAUCAAGGCCUCGAGGAUAAACAUGUGGUCCAGAGGCAGAGAAACCCCAGGCUUGAAAGCCCCUCUGCCCCCACCCCGGCCGCAUAAACCCAGGGCUUUUAAGCAAG
RNAcentral lists this long non-coding RNA (16414 nucleotides) under Lynx pardinus (Iberian lynx). Lineage: Eukaryota; Metazoa; Chordata; Mammalia; Carnivora; Felidae. The record is from RNAcentral.